GAUGAACGCUGGCGGCGUGCCUAAUACAUGCAAGUCGAGCGAACGGACGAGAAGCUUGCUUCUCUGAUGUUAGCGGCGGACGGGUGAGUAACACGUGGAUAACCUACCUAUAAGACUGGGAUAACUUCGGGAAACCGGAGCUAAUACCGGAUAAUAUUUUGAACCGCAUGGUUCAAAAGUGAAAGACGGUCUUGCUGUCACUUAUAGAUGGAUCCGCGCUGCAUUAGCUAGUUGGUAAGGUAACGGCUUACCAAGGCAACGAUGCAUAGCCGACCUGAGAGGGUGAUCGGCCACACUGGGACUGAGUCACUGUCCAGACUCCUACGGGAGGCAGCAGUAGGGAAUCUUCCGCAAUUGGCGAAAGCCUGACGGAGCAACGCCGCGUGAGUGAUUAAGGUCUUCGGAUCGUAAAACUCUGUUAUUAGAGAAGAACAUAUGUGUAAGUAACUGUGCACAUCUUGACGGUACCUAAGCAGAAAGCCACGGCUAACUACGUG
Molecule: ribosomal RNA, 497 nt
Filed under: uncultured bacterium
Lineage: Bacteria
Description: partial 16S ribosomal RNA
Rfam family: Bacterial small subunit ribosomal RNA
Source: RNAcentral